UCCUUCCUUCCUUCCUUCCUUUUUUUUUUCUCUUUGAGACAGGGUCUUGCUGUGUUGCCCAGGCUGGAGUGCAGUGGUGUCUUGGCUCAUACAAGCAGCCUUGACCUCCCGGGCUCAAGUGAUCUAUUCAGCCCCCGUCCCCAUGGAGGAAGCUGGGACUACAGGCGCACGCCACCACACCCAACUAAUUUUGUAUAUUUUUGGUAGAGACAGGAUUUCGCCAUGUUGCUCAGACACUAGUCUCGAACUCCUGGACUCAAACUGGAACUGGGCUUGAACUCCUGGACUCCUGCCUCAGCCUCCCAAAGUGCUGGGAUUACAGGUGCCCGGCCUCAGGGCCGUUUUCUUAGAGGGAGUGGAGAACUGGCCCAGGCAGGGGAGUAAGACAAGCUGCCACCUAGCUGGGGCGUGCCUGGCUGCAGUGCCUGAAGAGCCCACCGUGGAUUCUCUCCAUGCUGGUCGGGCUGCAGCCCAGGGACUGGCCACUGACCAGAGAGGAAGAGCAGGAUCCCAGAGGAAGGAUUGAAAUCUCUUUGAAGGCAGACACAGCAUCUUGUACUGUGGUACGCUGGUACCUCUAGGUUCCUGGCACCGAAGCUGACACAUACAAAGGGUUCCUUAGAAUUUGGUUGCAUAGUUGAUGAAAGCACAAACCCAGAGCGGCAGCAGCAUCCGUCAGCAUGUCUGGGGUGCCAGGGGGCUUCGCUCAUUUAGACUUUACCACCGCAUUACAAGGGAAGUAGUAUCCUUAUUCCCAUUUUACAGAUAAGGAGGCUGAGGUCCAGAGAGGUUAAGAAACCAGGGUGGACAGAAAGCCAUGGGGUGUGGAGAGCGGCCAAAAGGGCCUGGGGGAGGGGCUGUGUUGGGGCCUGGUGGAGAUGGUAGGAAGUGAGAAGAGGGCCCGGAGGAGGGUGCAGAGGGUCAGUUCUGGGAAGGGACAAGGGGCUCCCUGUGCCGGGCUGGUGAGGCCAUACAAGCAGGGAAGCGGUCCCUGAUGGGGUACCCGGAGGACUCCCCACUCCUGUCCCCAAACACCUCAAAGUCUCUCCCAAGAGUCAAGCUGGGUCCUCCUCCAGUUUCCCCUCCUCCCAAAGUCCAGUUCCUGGGACAGGACGAUGUCGUGAGGCCGGCGUCUCAGGGGCCAGCUGCCUCUAAGGUGGAGGUCAGGGGAGGAAGAGGCCGCCAAGGGCCCUGACCCCCAGAGGGUCACUGGCCUCAGCCCCACCCUGACAAAGAGGCAGACUGACUCAGCUUCCUCCCAGCAUCUCUCCAGGAACGCUCGCCAGGUCAUUUACCCUGAGCCCACUGGAGGCCUUGGGUUUAAUUACCCAAAGCCCUGAACUUUAGACUUCCCAGAGCUGACAACAGGGCGCUGGGGAUGUUCUUAGAAACUUCAACUUCAGGACACAGUGGGGAAUGGUGGGAAAGGUGGAAGGGCAGGAGGGAGCCAGAGGGACGGAGGUUGGACUGAGACUGGUGCUUCCCCGCCGGGCACCCCAGGAGAGACCGGCAGGGCGUCCGUGAGGGGAGGGGGCUUCUGCCCCACCCAAGGUCUCCAGGGGGCGUCUUCUGUACAGAGUGGCCCGGGAUCCAACCAGUGGGAGGCCCUGCCUGGAGGCCGGCCCGUCCCCAGCUAAGGCUUGGUCAGAGAGGACGAGCUGUGGCGCCAGGGUCUUCUCUUGGCAGUUGAGGCCUGCCAGCUGUCAGAAACUGAUGUUUUAGAACCAUGAAGAAUAAAUCCUUCUGAUUUCC
Macaca mulatta (Rhesus monkey) is the source of this 1752-nucleotide non-coding RNA. Lineage: Eukaryota; Metazoa; Chordata; Mammalia; Primates; Cercopithecidae. The record is from RefSeq and is a predicted model, not a curated record.